Drosophila pseudoobscura pseudoobscura is the source of this 61-nucleotide non-coding RNA. The record is from Rfam. NCBI's taxonomy places the organism in Eukaryota, Metazoa, Arthropoda, Insecta, Diptera, Drosophilidae.
GACCCAUCCAACCAGUUCGACGAAGCGAACUCCGACCGAACUUAAUCGAAACAUCAAGGGA